RNAcentral lists this ribosomal RNA (448 nucleotides) under uncultured bacterium. Its description in RNAcentral is "bacterial SSU rRNA". It matches the Rfam family "Bacterial small subunit ribosomal RNA", at positions 329 to 793 of the family's 1533-position model. The record is from RNAcentral.
UCCCAGACUCCUACGGGAGGCAGCAGUGGGGAAUAUUGCACAAUGGGGGAAACCCUGAUGCAGCGACGCCGCGUGAGUGAAGAAGUGUUUCGGUAUGUAAAGCUCUAUCAGCAGGGAAGAAAAAAGACGGUACCUGACUAAGAAGCCCCGGCUAACUACGUGCCAGCAGCCGCGGUAAUACGUAGGGGGCAAGCGUUAUCCGGAAUUACUGGGUGUAAAGGGUGCGUAGGUGGCAUGGUAAGUCAGAAGUGAAAGCCCGGGGCUUAACCCCGGGACUGCUUUUGAAACUGUCAUGCUGGAGUGCAGGAGAGGUAAGCGGAAUUCCUAGUGUAGCGGUGAAAUGCGUAGAUAUUAGGAGGAACACCAGUGGCGAAGGCGGCUUACUGGACUGUCACUGACACUGAUGCACGAAAGCGUGGGGAGCAAACAGGAUUAGAUACCCCAGUAC